This 1343-nucleotide ribosomal RNA is filed under the name uncultured bacterium. RNAcentral describes it as "16S ribosomal RNA". It matches the Rfam family "Bacterial small subunit ribosomal RNA", at positions 28 to 1378 of the family's 1533-position model. The record is from RNAcentral.
GACGAACGCUGGCGGCGUGCUUAACACAUGCAAGUCGAACGGAAAGGCCCUGCUUUUGUGGGGUGCUCGAGUGGCGAACGGGUGAGUAACACGUGAGUAACCUGCCCUUGACUUUGGGAUAACUUCAGGAAACUGGGGCUAAUACCGGAUAGGAGCUCCUGCUGCAUGGUGGGGGUUGGAAAGUUUCGGCGGUUGGGGAUGGACUCGCGGCUUAUCAGCUUGUUGGUGGGGUAGUGGCUUACCAAGGCUUUGACGGGUAGCCGGCCUGAGAGGGUGACCGGCCACAUUGGGACUGAGAUACGGCCCAGACUCCUACGGGAGGCAGCAGUGGGGAAUAUUGCACAAUGGGCGGAAGCCUGAUGCAGCAACGCCGCGUGCGGGAUGACGGCCUUCGGGUUGUAAGCCGCUUUCGCCUGUGACGAAGCGUGAGUGACGGUAAUGGGUAAAGAAGCACCGGCUAACUACGUGCCAGCAGCCGCGGUGAUACGUAGGGUGCGAGCGUUGUCCGGAUUUAUUGGGCGUAAAGGGCUCGUAGGUGGUUGAUCGCGUCGGAAGUGUAAUCUUGGGGCUUAACCCUGAGCGUGCUUUCGAUACGGGUUGACUUGAGGAAGGUAGGGGAGAAUGGAAUUCCUGGUGGAGCGGUGGAAUGCGCAGAUAUCAGGAGGAACACCAGUGGCGAAGGCGGUUCUCUGGGCCUUUCCUGACGCUGAGGAGCGAAAGCGUGGGGAGCGAACAGGCUUAGAUACCCUGGUAGUCCACGCUGUAAACGGUGGGUACUAGGUGUGGGGUCCAUUCCACGGGUUCCGUGCCGUAGCUAACGCUUUAAGUACCCCGCCUGGGGAGUACGGCCGCAAGGCUAAAACUCAAAGGAAUUGACGGGGCCCCGCACAAGCGGCGGAGCAUGCGGAUUAAUUCGAUGCAACGCGUAGAACCUUACCUGGGUUUGACAUGGAUCGGGAGCGCUCAGAGAUGGGUGUGCCUCUUUUGGGGUCGGUUCACAGGUGGUGCAUGGCUGUCGUCAGCUCGUGUCGUGAGAUGUUGGGUUAAGUCCCGCAACGAGCGCAACCCUUGUUCACUGUUGCCAGCACGUUAUGGUGGGGACUCAGUGGAGACCGCCGGGGUCAACUCGGAGGAAGGUGGGGAUGACGUCAAGUCAUCAUGCCCCUUAUGUCCAGGGCUUCACGCAUGCUACAAUGGCUGGUACAGAGAGUGGCGAGCCUGUGAGGGUGAGCGAAUCUCGGAAAGCCGGUCUCAGUUCGGAUUGGGGUCUGCAACUCGACCUCAUGAAGUCGGAGUCGCUAGUAAUCGCAGAUCAGCAACGCUGCGGUGAAUACGUUCCCGGG